GGGGAGAGGAAGAAGGGGUGAGAGGGAGAACCUGCCGCUGCUCGCCGCCUCUUUGUCUGCUCCGGGACUGGGAACAAAGGGGGGAACUCUGAUGAACUCUCCUCCCCUCGCCCCGGACGCCCGGUUAUCUCCCUGUAGCAACUUUGCAGCCUCGACUUUCUGCGGUGUCAGGCCACACAAAAGUGUCCAUGCGCUUUGCGGACUGCAACAGGGGAGCGUCUCUGAAAAGUGUGACCAAGUGGGAAAAAGGUGUGGUUAUUAUCAACAUCUAGCAAGCAUCAUGCAGUGCAUUGUUCUUACGAGAUCUUAAUAUCAGUGAACAUUAUGGAAGUACCAGUACAACGUCACAUCAUUCGUGGAUGAAAAGUUAUCAAACUUCUUCAUUUGGAGUUACAUAAGAUUCAAAAUGAUGGGAGUUCUGAUGAUGCCUUCCCUAUCUGGAUUACUACAGUUUGAACACUGGAAAUUCUCUGCCUUAAGGAAGUACUCUCAGGAGACUACAGAAGCAUUUAACACCCAGCAUGUUCAGUUCAGGUGUGAAUCAUGGUGACAGUGAAAGACGAUGAUUUACUGCUUUGGGGGGCAUGCGUGUAUAUGAUGAAGGGAUGUAAGUGCAGGACUCCAAGAUUUACUUCCUUCCUGUUCCAGCGGAGAUAGACGAGGAGAGUCAUCCCUGGCGUCCUCCUGGGACAUCCUGCUCAACUGCCUCUGAUCCACGGAUAGUUGUUCUCUGUUGUCCAUUUCACCAGAUAGCCUCAAAACUAACAAAAAGAGAAAUGGCUAAUGGGUCUCAUCCUGGAAUCCAUAUUACAUUUAGUUGUAAUGUCUUCUUCGACUCCUCUGAUCUGUGACAGUUUCUCAGACUUGUUUCUGAUGAUGACCUUGAGGAAUACUGGUAAGGAAAUUGAAGACUUGUUCAGAACCAGAUAACUGAUGAGAGAGAGAGAGAAGAAAGAGAGCAGCUGACAGCUCAGGUCCUCUUUCCACGCUCAGGAACCACCACACAUGCUACUGUGUUGGGCUUCAUUUUGUUUCUCUCUGAAACUUUGUACUCUAUUUGCAAUGGUAUGGUUAUUUGUUAAGACCUUUUACACAUUUUUUUAAACAAAUAUUGCUGCAAAGUUUUGUAUUUAAAUGAAACAUAUUUAAAUUAAAUAUUUUCUUGUUAUCUAGCAUGCACCUGAUUCUUUGAUUUGGUUGUUUUAGCCAAAAUCCCCGUAGAAGAGUCUGUCUAGGUGAUAGUUUAUGAGUACAGCUGGGCAAAACAAAACAACAGCCUAUGAAAAACUCAUUCUGAUCAUUUCAUAUCUAGGAAAAAUAGAGAACAACAAAAGUGAGUCAAUAUUUUAUAAAUUCGAGGUCAAUAUUCUAUGUCAAUGCCAAUAGCGUAUGAGUUCCAAAGGAUUUGUGUCACUAUUAAAUUAGAAAUGAUUCACUCUUAUUUGAUGUACAGUGGAUUUAGACAUAUAAUAGAGAGAAAGAAAGAGAAUACAAAGGAUAGAGAGCAAACAUAUCUUGUAGGACAAUUGCAAACCUCUUAUGAGCUUUGAUACAAAUAGAGACCAUCUCUUCUCCUUGGCUAUUCAUUCAUCUUUAGCAUUAGUGAAUUUAUGGCUUGUAUUCUCGACCUUGACCUAUAGCCCUGAAAUGCUGUAUGUCUGCCCUGCUUCAGCAGGUAAACUUCAGGACAGUGACUGUGUGUUACCUGUUACAUAUCUAUAGCCCAGAUCUUAGAUGAGUGCUAUUAGAAUUGGGAGAGAGGCUUUAAUUUGAUAUUCAGGGAUUGAUGUUUAUACAUUGGAUGUCACCUUUCAAUGUAAGCUUUUUAUUCUUAAUAUUUGAUCUAGUUUAAUUUCCUGAGCUAUUGGUCAUGAUUGUGGAAAUCACUCUGUAGGGCUUUCAUUGCUAAUAUAUUUUGUAACCAAUCAGGCUUGUGGAGAACUCAAUUUGUAUGUUUCUUUGAUAACUGAGGUACACAUCAAAGCAGGUUUCUCCUCCUUGCUUAGGAAUUUUUUCUAUUUUCCAUCAGAGUUCAGUGCCCAUACAGUACCACCACCAGUCAUAUAGCUUACUACUUAAGCAAUUCCUUUAAGGAUGUCAAGAGAGCAUGUUGUUUCUUUCACGUAACUUUUACUUUCAAAGUCAGACCAAAUUAGAUAUUAGAGUAUUAUAAAUUCCUAUCUUAAAUUCCUUUGGCAUUAUUUUUAUAUUCAUGUUUGUUGUCUGUACAUCAAGCAGAUUUUUUCCAGCCCAUUUCUACUGAUCGAUCACCACUGAUGAACAAACCCAUCUUUUCAUGCGUCUGCAAUGGAAAGCCUCUUUGCUAAAUACUUCAUACUGAUCAUUAUCUGAUACAGAAGACAACAAAUUUAAAAAUGCUCAGGUUGAAUAGAUUCAAUCUUCUCAUCCAUCAUUUUAGAAAAAUGACAGCACAACUUGUAUACAAUUUCAAAUGAAUUACUGGAAUAUUUCUGGCUAGACUGGGAGAACAUAUAUACUGAUAAGAAGCCCAUUUGAUUUACUAAAGCUUACCAUAUUAUUUAUUAACUCAGCAUCAUUAAUAUCCACAACUCAUUUUUUCUACUGAUGAUUGCUCCAUUGUACAAUAUAUAAGUGUAAUGAAAAAUUAUCUGUAUUUUUAGAAAUUGAAAAAAAUAAUUUACAUGAGUCAUAUUAUAUAGUCAACUCAGGACUGAAGUUAUAUAAUGAGUUAUAGCUGAGACAACAACAUAAGAGAGGCAUUGAAGUAUUGUAAAAGAUAAUGUGGUGAUGAUGUGUUUACAAUAAGCCUAUUCCUGCCGUUUUACCCUUUUAUCUAUUAUGUAUGUCACAUGCAGUUAUUAUUAUUUUUUUGGUUCUUGCCUUUCCCCUUAGCUCUUCCAAUGUUUUUUCCUCUUUUUUGAUAUAAAAAAUGAUAUUAAGUGGAAAGCAUAAAAAGCUUCAGGCUAUUCAAGGAGAGUAAAAAAGAGAAUUUUCCAGGCCUCAAAUAUUUCUGCUCUGGAUCUAGAACACAGCACAUAUUGAUAUGAGUUCUCUAAUUCAUGACUAUUUGGAAGUAUUGUGUACACGUUUCAGCAAAUUUUGGCAAAAGCCAUGUCCUCUAAUGAGGAAGUGACUGUCCUCUUCUUGUGUCAUUUCCCAGCCCUGAAGUCCUGUUUACACUAAGCUCCUUUGUUAAGGAUUCUACAUAAAGGUCUUUGAUACUGUCGAGCCCAUCCUUGAGUCAUUCUUAGCUGACACUUUGUGUCUGGCUGGCAGUUUUUCCAUGAGUGGUAAGGUCAGCCUCAUACAAUAUUACACAACCUCCCCCUACUCCUUGUGCGUCAGUGAGAAUCAAAUGACCCUUAAUAGUGAAAAAACAAAAUCUUGGAGUAAAGUAAAAAGAUGACCAAUCUUUAAACAAAGCAAACCGAUGUUCAGACUAGAAGGAUUCUCUCAUGUUCUUUAUGCAUUUUACUGGUUGUCUGUGAACAGCUUUUUCUUGCUAAAAAUGCUCUCUAAAAUGUUUAUUUGCUGUAGAUAAUUAUCAUCUUUUAAUUUGUGGUUUCUUUCCUUAAUAAAGUUAUGGAACAUUUGAGGUGAUUCGGGGUUAGCAUGGUAUAGUGGAGAGGGUACUGAGUCAGCUGCUUUCCCUUCCAAGGAUCCAUUGGAAGGACCCUUAAUUUUUCCUUGUCUGUCACCUCAUCUGUACAAUGAAAAUAAUCAUAUCUCCCUCACAGAGCUGAUGCGUAAUGUACUGUGUAUAAAAUAAUUUGGUACACUGUAAAAGCCGAUUUAAAUGAAAUAGGCUACUAUUCUUUUAAGAGCCAGAAGAGUUUGCUGUCAUUACUUGAGAAAAGGUCAGAAUAUGGAACCUUUUAGAAUUGCAUGUUUUAGAAAGAGUGAUUUGAUAAGUAUUGGCUUAAACUAGUGGGAUUUUCAAUAGCCCGGUUGCAGCAUUUUUCUUAUUACUUUGCCUCUGUAAAGCUUUCAUGCUAUAUUGGAAAAAUCUUCCCUUAACCAUGAAAUUAAAGAUGUAACUGAGUUUGAGUUA
Pteropus alecto (black flying fox) is the source of this 4033-nucleotide long non-coding RNA. RefSeq lists it as uncharacterized. The record is from RefSeq and is a predicted model, not a curated record. NCBI's taxonomy places the organism in Eukaryota, Metazoa, Chordata, Mammalia, Chiroptera, Pteropodidae. The transcript is spliced from 7 exons.